CAAAGAUUAAGCCAUGCAUGUGUAAGUAUAAGUAUUAUACGGCGAAACUGCGAAUGGCUCAUUAAAACAGUUAUGAUUUAUUUGAUAAUCGAAAGUUACAUGGAUAACCGUGACAAAUUACAGCUAAUACAUGCAGUCAGACCUGGUCCAAGGGUCGUAAUUAUUAGUACCAAACCAAUUCCGCAAGGAAUGUGAUGAAUCAUAGUAAUCGAACGAAUCGCAGGUAUAUGCGAUAAGUCAUUCAAGUUUCUGCCCUAUCAGCUUUGGAUGGUAGUGUAUUGGACUACCAUGGCAGUCACGGGUAACGGAGAAUUAGGGUUCGAUUCCGGAGAGGGAGCCUGAGAAACGGCUACCACAUCUACGGAAGGCAGCAGGCGCGAAAAUUGCCCAAUCCUGACACGGGGAGGCAGUGACAAGAAAUAACAACUCUAGGUUUUCUUAGAAGUGUAAUGAGGAUAAUUUACAAACCUUACCAAAUGCAGUUGGAGGGCAAGUCUGGUGCCAGCAGCCGCGGUAAUUCCAGCUCCAAUAGCGUAUAUUAAAGUUGUUGCAGUUAAAAAGCUCGUAGUUGAAAUUCUGAUUGUUCGGGUUUUUAGCCUUUAGGCAGAAAUACCGACAGUCAUCCGCUUGCAAACAUAGCUUGAUCUUAACCGAUUAACUAUGUGAGUAAGCACUUUACCUUGAGAAAAACAGAGUGUUCCAGGCAGGUUUGUCCGGAAUGCAUUAGCAUGGAAUAAUAGAACAUGACUGAAGUCAAUUUAUUGGUUAAAGACUUUAGUAAUGAUUAAUAGGAACAGUCGGGGGCAUUCGUACUCAGCAGUCAGAGGUGAAAUUCUAAGAUUUGCUGAAGACGAACUAAUGCGAAAGCAUUUGCCAAGGAUGUUUUCGUUAAUCAAGAACGAAAGUUAGGGGAUCAAAGACGAUCAGAUACCGUCCUAGUCUUAACUAUAAACGAUACCGACUCGGAUUCAGAUGAAUCAAAAUGUUCAUUUGGGACCGUAGGAGAAAUCAAAGUCUUUGGGUUCUGGGGGGAGUAUGGUCGCAAGGCUGAAACUUAAAGGAAUUGACGGUUUUGCACCACCAUGGAGUGGAGUUUGCGGCUUAAUUUGACUCAACACUGGGAAACUCAUCAGGGCAAGAAGAUUUUAGGAUUGACAGAUUGAGAGUUCUUUCUUGAUUGGUCUAGUGGUGGUGCAUGGCCGUUCUUAGUUGGUGGAGUGAUUUGUCUGGUUAAUUCCGUUAACGAACGAGACCUUAACCUGCUAACUAGUGUUCUUAUUUCAAAUUUGAAUCACUUCUUAGAGGGACUAUGUGAUGUAAUCACAUGGAAGUUUGAGGCAAUAACAGGUCUGUGAUGCCCUUAGAUGUCCUGAGCUGCACGCGUACUACAA
Molecule: ribosomal RNA, 1391 nt
Filed under: metagenome
Description: SSU rRNA
Rfam family: Eukaryotic small subunit ribosomal RNA
Source: RNAcentral